GGUAGAAGGCUCCAGUGAAACCAUCUGGACCGCCUGCAGAAUCCCCAUUCAGCCCCAUUACUGCUUUCUUCACUUCCUCAUUCGAAGGUAGGGCCAUCAAACUCUCAUGUUGACCAUUAUCUAUCAUUGGAGGUACAUGAUUUAAAAUAUCAAAAUCAUUGGGAAAAGACCUCUCAGUAAAUAACUCCUUGUAAAAUUUUACAACUUCCUCUGCUAUUUUGUGAUCUUCUUCAAUCCAAUUACCAUCACUAUCCUGGAC
Molecule: long non-coding RNA, 259 nt
Filed under: Nicotiana benthamiana
Lineage: Eukaryota; Viridiplantae; Streptophyta; Magnoliopsida; Solanales; Solanaceae
Description: long non-coding RNA (NBEN_LNC037109)
Source: RNAcentral